Xenia sp. Carnegie-2017 is the source of this 216-nucleotide long non-coding RNA. RefSeq lists it as uncharacterized. Lineage: Eukaryota; Metazoa; Cnidaria; Anthozoa; Malacalcyonacea; Xeniidae. The transcript has 2 exons. The record is from RefSeq and is a predicted model, not a curated record.
GAAAGAUAGACACAAAGGUAGGCAUAACUGUAAACACAAAGGUAGACAUAAAGGUAAACAUAAAGGUAGACAUAAAGGAAGACACAAAUGUAGACAUAAAGGUAAACAUAAAGGUAGACACAAAGGUAGGCAUAAAUGUAAACACAAAGGUAUACAUAAAGGUAGACAUAAAGGUAGACAUAAAGGUAAACAUAAAGGUAGACAUAAAGGAAGACA